RNAcentral lists this ribosomal RNA (1280 nucleotides) under Blautia wexlerae. RNAcentral describes it as "Bacterial large subunit ribosomal RNA". It matches the Rfam family "Bacterial large subunit ribosomal RNA", at positions 1634 to 2925 of the family's 2925-position model. The record is from Rfam by way of RNAcentral. Lineage: Bacteria; Bacillati; Bacillota; Clostridia; Lachnospirales; Lachnospiraceae.
UACCGUACCCGUACCGUAAACCGACACAGGUGGAUGAGGAGAGAAUCCUAAGGCCGGCGGAAGAAGCAUUGUCAAGGAACUCGGCAAAAUGGCCCCGUAACUUAGGGAUAAGGGGUGCCUGGGAAACCAGGCCGCAGAGAAUAGGCUCAAGCAACUGUUUAGCAAAAACACAGGUCUAUGCGAAACCGAAAGGUGAGGUAUAUGGGCUGACGCCUGCCCGGUGCUGGAAGGUUAAGAGGAGAGGUUAGCGGUAACGCGAAGCUUUGAAUUUAAGCCCCAGUAAACGGCGGCCGUAACUAUAACGGUCCUAAGGUAGCGAAAUUCCUUGUCGGGUAAGUUCCGACCCGCACGAAAGGCGUAAUGAUUUGAGCGCUGUCUCGACAAUGCAUCCGGUGAAAUUGAAGUACCAGUGAAGAUGCUGGUUACCUGCGCCAGGACGGAAAGACCCCAUGGAGCUUUACUCCAGUCUGGUACUGGGACUCGGUAUUGCAUGUACAGGAUAGGUGGGAGGCUAGGAGAUGGUAACGCCAGUUGCCAUGGAGCCGCUGUUGGGAUACCACCCUUGCAGUAUUGGGUUUCUAACCAGCCGCCGUGACCCGGCGGUGGGACAAUGCCAGACGGGGAGUUUGACUGGGGCGGUCGCCUCCGAAAGGGUAUCGGAGGCGCCCAAAGGUUCCCUCAGAAUGGACGGAAACCAUUCGAAGAGUGCAAAGGCAGAAGGGAGCUUGACUGCGACACCGACGGGUGGAGCAGGUACGAAAGUAGGGCUUAGUGAUCCGGUGGUAUUAAGUGGGAAUGCCAUCGCUCAACGGAUAAAAGCUACCCUGGGGAUAACAGGCUUAUCACUCCCAAGAGUUCACAUCGACGGAGUGGUUUGGCACCUCGAUGUCGGCUCAUCGCAUCCUGGGGCUGUAGUAGGUCCCAAGGGUUGGGCUGUUCGCCCAUUAAAGCGGUACGCGAGCUGGGUUCAGAACGUCGUGAGACAGUUCGGUCCCUAUCCGGCGUGGGCGUAGGAUAUCUGAGAGGAGCUGUCCUUAGUACGAGAGGACCGGGAUGGACGGGCCGCUGGUGCAUCGGUUAGACUGCCAAGUCUACGGCCGAGUAGCCAAGCCCGGAAGGGAUAAACGCUGAAGGCAUCUAAGCGUGAAGCCCCCCUUAAGAUGAGAUAUCCCAUUCGAAAGAAGUAAACCCCCUUGAAGACGACGAGGUAGAUAGGGCAGAGGUGGAAGUGCAGCAAUGCAUGGAGCUGACUGUUACUAAUCGGGUGAGGGCUUGACCAA